CUACGGGCGGCUCCAGUGAGGAAUAUUGCACAAUGGGGGGAACCCUGAUGCAGCAACGCCGCGUGGAGGAUGACGCAUUUCGGCGUGUAAACUCCUUUUAUAUGUCAAGAAAAUGACGGUAGCAUAUGAAUAAGCACCGGCUAACUCCGUGCCAGCAGCCGCGGUAAUACGGAGGGUGCAAGCGCUACUCGGAAUCACUGGGCGUAAAGGACGCGUAGGCGGGUUGGAAAGUCAGGUGUGAAAUCCUACAGCUUAACUGUAGAACUGCACUUGAAACUUCUAAUCUAGAGUAUGGGAGGGGGAGAUGGAAUUAGUGGUGUAGGGGUAAAAUCCGUAGAUAUCACUAGGAAUACCUAAAGCGAAGGCGAUCUCCUGGAACAUUACUGACGCUAAGGCGUGAAAGCGUGGGGAGCAAACAGGAUUAGAUACCCCCGUAGUC
RNAcentral lists this ribosomal RNA (439 nucleotides) under uncultured bacterium. RNAcentral describes it as "partial 16S ribosomal RNA". It matches the Rfam family "Bacterial small subunit ribosomal RNA", at positions 339 to 795 of the family's 1533-position model. The record is from RNAcentral.